Molecule: ribosomal RNA, 433 nt
Filed under: uncultured bacterium
Lineage: Bacteria
Description: partial 16S ribosomal RNA
Rfam family: Bacterial small subunit ribosomal RNA
Source: RNAcentral
AACGAACGCUGGCGGCAUGCCUAACACAUGCAAGUCGAACGAGACCUUCGGGUCUAGUGGCGCACGGGUGCGUAACGCGUGGGAACCUGCCCUUAGGUUCGGAAUAACUCCCCGAAAGGGGUGCUAAUACCGGAUAAUGGCUUCGGACCAAAGAUUUAUCGCCUUUGGAUGGGCCCGCGUUGGAUUAGCUAGUUGGUAGGGUAAAAGCCUACCAAGGCGACGAUCCAUAGCUGGUCUGAGAGGAUGAUCAGCCACACUGGGACUGAGACACGGCCCAGACUCCUACGGGAGGCAGCAGUAGGGAAUAUUGGACAAUGGGCGAAAGCCUGAUCCAGCAAUGCCGCGUGAGUGAUGAAGGCCUUAGGGUUGUAAAGCUCUUUUACCCGGGAUGAUAAUGACAGUACCGGGAGAAUAAGCUCCGGCUAACUCCGUG